UUCCUCCUACGGGACGCAGCAGUGGGGAAUAUUGCACAAUGGGGGAAACCCUGAUGCAGCGACGCCGCGCGAGUGAAGAAGUAUUUCGGUAUGUAAAGCUCUAUCAGCAGGGAAGAAAAAAGACGGUACCUGACUAAGAAGCCCCGGCUAACUACGUGCCAGCAGCCGCGGUAAUACGUAGGGGGCAAGCGUUAUCCGGAUUUACUGGGUGUAAAGGGAGCGUAGACGGUGCGUCAAGUCUGAAGUGAAAGCCCGGGGCUUAACCCCGGGACUGCUUUGGAAACUGGC
RNAcentral lists this ribosomal RNA (288 nucleotides) under uncultured bacterium. Its description in RNAcentral is "partial 16S ribosomal RNA". It matches the Rfam family "Bacterial small subunit ribosomal RNA", at positions 333 to 637 of the family's 1533-position model. The record is from RNAcentral.